This 406-nucleotide ribosomal RNA is filed under the name uncultured bacterium. RNAcentral describes it as "partial 16S ribosomal RNA". It matches the Rfam family "Bacterial small subunit ribosomal RNA", at positions 30 to 526 of the family's 1533-position model. The record is from RNAcentral.
AUUGAACGCUGGCGGCAGGCCUAACACAUGCAAGUCGAGCGAGCGGUGGACGGGUGAGUAAUGUCUGGGAAACUGCCUGAUGAAGGGGGAUAACUACUGGAAACGGUAGCUAAUACCGCAUACCCUCAGAUGUGCCCAGAUGGGAUUAGCUAGUAGGGGGGGUAACGCCUCACCUAAGCGACGAUCCCUAGCUGGUCUGAGAGGAUGACCAAACACCCUGGACAUACGACACGGUCCACACUCCUACGGGAGGCAGCAGUGGGGAAUAUUGCACAAUUGGCGCAAUCCUGAUGCAGCCAGGCCGCGUGUGUGAAGAAGGCUGUCGGGUUGUAAAGCACUUUCAGCGGGGAGGCGUUACCCGCAGAAGAAGCACCGGCUAACUCCGGGCCAGCAGCGGCGGUAAUUC